Molecule: long non-coding RNA, 138 nt
Organism: Octopus sinensis (East Asian common octopus)
Lineage: Eukaryota; Metazoa; Mollusca; Cephalopoda; Octopoda; Octopodidae
Exons: 4
Source: RefSeq, a predicted model, not a curated record
UUUCCUUUCUCUUAGUUAUUUGAUAUGUCCAUCUCCAAUCUGACAUAAAAACAUGUCUGAUCAUGGGGAAAUAUCUUAGUUUGAAACAGGUGAAAGUUGGUAACAAGAUGGCCAUCUGGACAGAGAAAAUCCACCUCA